GGGCCAUCUUGCAAUUAACCUCAACUUUUGGGCCAUAUUGCAAAUACAAAAACUUUUGGGGUCACUUUGUAUAAUACACAAAAGUCACAACUUCAUGUAAAUACAACUAGAACCCAAACUUUAAUCAAUGCAAAAACUUCAUUAAAGGAACAAAACAAUUUGUCCUUUAGCGUUUUUGGACCUAAACGUAAAAACGUAAACUUUUG
Molecule: long non-coding RNA, 206 nt
Filed under: Malus domestica (apple)
Lineage: Eukaryota; Viridiplantae; Streptophyta; Magnoliopsida; Rosales; Rosaceae
Description: long non-coding RNA (MDOM_LNC003760)
Source: RNAcentral